GUAUACCGUACCCUGUUGCUUCGGCGGGCCCGCCUCACGGCCGCCGGGGGACCUCGUGUCCCCGGGCCCGCGCCCGCCGAAGACCCCAACACGAACACUGUCUGAAAAGUGCAGUCUGAGUCGAUUGUUACCAAUCAGUCAAAACUUUCAACAAUGGAUCUCUUGGUUCCGGCAUCGAUGAAGAACGCAGCGAAAUGCGAUAACUAAUGUGAAUUGCAGAAUUCAGUGAAUCAUCGAGUCUUUGAACGCACAUUGCGCCCCCUGGUAUUCCGGGGGGCAUGCCUGUCCGAGCGUCAUUGCUGCCCUCAAGCACGGCUUGUGUGUUGGGCCCCGUCCCCGGUACCCCCGGGGACGGGCCCGAAAGGCAGCGGCGGCACCGCGUCCGGUCCUCGAGCGUAUGGGGCUUUGUCACCCGCUCUGCAGGCCCGGCCGGCGCCAGCCGACCAACCCAACCAUUUUUUACAGGUUGACCUCGGAUCAGGUAGGGAUACCCGCUGAACUUAAGCAUAUCAAUAAGCGGAGGA
RNAcentral lists this unclassified non-coding RNA (524 nucleotides) under Aspergillus sp. 1 JS-2017. RNAcentral describes it as "sequence contains ITS1, 5.8S rRNA gene and ITS2". The stretch from base 143 to 296 matches the Rfam family "5.8S ribosomal RNA". The record is from RNAcentral. Lineage: Eukaryota; Fungi; Ascomycota; Eurotiomycetes; Eurotiales; Aspergillaceae.